AUGGGCGUCCAGGGCUUCCAAGAGUUCCUGGAGAAGCGCUGUCCCGGGGCUGUGGUGCCUGUGGACCUCCUCAAACUCGCGCGCACCGUCUCGCGCCAGCAGCAGCAGCAGCACCUGCACCGCCAGCUGCCGCCAGCAGCCCUAGCGCCAGGGGCUCCACGCAUCGCCAGGGGCUCUGCUCCUCUGCCGCCGCCGCUCCCGCCUGCUGCCUUUGGUGCUUACUCCGGGGGCGCGGGGCCGACUCGGCACCAUCACCCUGCUCACCAUUUCCACCACCAUGGCCAAGCGCCGCCAGGGCUGCAUCCGCCGCCGCCCCCUCCGCUGCCUGGGGCUCGGGUAUUGGUAGACGCGGGCUCCGCGCUGCCGCGGCUCUAUGGUGGCUACCAGACGGAUUGGGUUUGUGGCGGCCAGUGGAAUGCCAUGCUGGGCUACUUGUCAGCGCUGUGCCAGGCUUGUGCCUAUCCGGGCGGAGACGGCCUGGAGCUGGUGGUCAUGUUCCCUGGGGGCCUGGGGAAGGACCGACUGGCGG
This 529-nucleotide long non-coding RNA is filed under the name Rattus norvegicus (Norway rat). RNAcentral's name for it is "long non-coding RNA NONRATT030473". The record is from RNAcentral. Lineage: Eukaryota; Metazoa; Chordata; Mammalia; Rodentia; Muridae.